GGGCGAGUAUUCGCGCAAGCGAGAAAGUUAAAAGAAUUGACGGAAGGGCACCACCAGGCGUGGAGCUUGCGGCUUAAUUUGACUCAACACGGGAAAACUCACUAGUUUAAGACAAGAGUAGGAUUGACAGAUUAAUAGCUCUUUCUUGAUUUCUUGGAUGGUGAUGCAUGGCCGUUUUUAGUUCGUGAAUAUGAUUUGUCUGGUUAAUUCCGAUAACGAACGAGAUCUUAACCUGCUAAUUAGCGGUAAGUACACUAUAUUUUUAUUUGAAAUUGAAUAUAGGUAAUUAUACAUGUUUAUUCAGUGUUCAAAUUAGGAUAUUUUUUUAUUAAAAUAUUCUUUUCCCUGUUUUACUAAUAAUUUGUUUUUUUUUACUCUAUUUCUCUCUUCUUUUAAGAAUGUACUUGCUUGAUUAAAUAAAGCUUCUUAGAGGAACAGUGUGUAUCUAACACAAGGAAGUUUAAGGCAACAACAGGUCUGUGAUGUCCUUAGAUAAACUAGGCUGCACGCGUGCUACAAUGAUAUAUAUAACAAGUUGUUAAAAAUGUACUUAUAAAUAAGUGUGUACAAUUUUUCCUGUACUGAAAAGUAUAGGUAAUCUUUAUCAGUAUAUAUCGUAAUUGGGAUAGAUUAUUGCAAUUAUUAAUCUUGAACGAGGAAUGCCUAGUAAGCAUGAUUCAUUAGAUUGUGCUGACUACGUCCCUGCCCUUUGUACACACCGCCCGUCGCUCCUACCGAUUGAAAGAUAUGAUGAAUUGUUUGGAUAUGAAUUAAAAUAAUGAAAUUUUAUAUUUCUGAUUUUUUCUAGAAGAACUGUAAAUCCUAUCUUUUAAAGGAAGGAGAAGUCGUAACAAGGUUUCCGUAGGUGAACCUGCGGAAG
This 880-nucleotide non-coding RNA is filed under the name Plasmodium falciparum FCH/4. RNAcentral's name for it is "Eukaryotic small subunit ribosomal RNA". It matches the Rfam family "Eukaryotic small subunit ribosomal RNA", at positions 1117 to 1823 of the family's 1831-position model. Lineage: Eukaryota; Apicomplexa; Aconoidasida; Haemosporida; Plasmodiidae. The record is from Rfam by way of RNAcentral.